Molecule: ribosomal RNA, 433 nt
Filed under: uncultured bacterium
Lineage: Bacteria
Description: partial 16S ribosomal RNA
Rfam family: Bacterial small subunit ribosomal RNA
Source: RNAcentral
AACGAACGCUGGCGGCAUGCCUAACACAUGCAAGUCGAGCGAGCCCUCCGGGUGUAUUGGCGCCCGACGGCGUAGCGCGUCGGAACAGGCCCUCAUGUUCGGCAUAACUACCCGAAAGGGGUUCUAAUACCGGAUAAUAUCUUCGAACCAAAGAUUUAUUGCCUUAGGAUGGGCCCGCGUUGGAUUAGCUAGUUGGUAGGGUAAAAGCCUACCAAGGCGACGAUCCAUAGCUGGUCUGAGAGGAUGAUCAGCCACACUGGGACUGAGACACGGCCCAGACUCCUACGUGAGGCAGCAGUGGGGAAUAGUGGACAAUGGGCGAAAGCCUGAUCCAGCAAUGCCGCGUGAGUGAUGAAGGCCUUAGGGUUGUAAAGCUCUUUUACCCGGGAUGAUAAUGACGGUACCGGGAGAAUAAGCCCCGGCUAACUCCGUG